CUACGGGAUGCUCCAGUGAGGAAUUUUGCGCAAUGGGGGAAACCCUGACGCAGCAACGCCGCGUGAGUGAUGAAGGCUUUCGGGUCGUAAAGCUCUGUCAAGUGGGAAGAACAUACAUAAGGCCAAUACCUUUAUGUACUGACGGUACCACUGAAGGAAGCACCGGCUAACUCCGUGCCAGCAGCCGCGGUAAUACGGGGGGUGCAAGCGUUAUUCGGAAUCAUUGGGCGUAAAGAGCACGUAGGCGGUUAUCUAAGUCAGAUGUGAAAGCCCGGGGCUUAACCCCGGAAGUGCAUUUGAUACUGGGAAACUUGAGUAUGGGAGAGGGAAGUGGAAUUCCUGGUGUAGAGGUGAGAUUCGUAGAUAUCAGGAGGAACACCGGUGGCGAAGGCGACUUCCUGGACCAAUACUGACGCUGAGGUGCGAAGGCGUGGGGAGCAAACAGGAUUAGAUACCCUCGUAGUC
This 465-nucleotide ribosomal RNA is filed under the name uncultured bacterium. Its description in RNAcentral is "partial 16S ribosomal RNA". It matches the Rfam family "Bacterial small subunit ribosomal RNA", at positions 339 to 795 of the family's 1533-position model. The record is from RNAcentral.